This 373-nucleotide unclassified non-coding RNA is filed under the name soil metagenome. RNAcentral's name for it is "partial contains 5.8S ribosomal RNA, internal transcribed spacer 2, and large subunit ribosomal RNA". The stretch from base 1 to 121 matches the Rfam family "5.8S ribosomal RNA", at positions 35 to 154 of the family's 154-position model. The record is from RNAcentral.
GAUGAAGAACGCAGCGAAAUGCGAUAAGUAAUGCGAAUUGCAGAAUUCCAGUGAGUCAUCGAAUCUUUGAACGCACAUUGCGCACUUUGGUAUUCCGAAGGGCAUGCCUGUUCGAGCGUCAUUAUCACCCCUCAAGCCCUCGGCUUGGUGUUGGACGGUUUGGUGGAGGCCCCCUCGGGGGCUCCUGCCCCUCCCAAAGACAAUGACGGCGGCCUCGUUGGACCCCCGGUACACUGAGUUCUUCACGGGACACGUAUCGGACACAUGGGUUUACGGGACACGGUCUGCCUCCCCUCAGGGAGAAUCUUUCUAAGGUUGACCUCGGAUCAGGUAGGGAUACCCGCUGAACUUAAGCAUAUCAAUAAGCGGAGGA